GUUUUUUUUUUGGUGAUAUAAUUUAAAGAAUAAUUUACAGAGAAAACAAAACCUGGGCAUUCUUUCCGAGAGGCCUUCUUCAGAUAAAGAGGAAGAAUGUCUUUGAAUUCUGAUAUAAAGUUUUGUUUCUAGACUGUAUUGCAGACAAAUUAGUCUCGGUGGGAUGGGAAACCAAGUUUUGCAAAGGAUGGGGUGUACGUGAGCCUUCGAAGGUUCCAGCAUACAGCACGGCUGAUGAUAAACAUUUGUCAAGUAAUGAGAGAACAAGUGAAGGGGGUUUCCCUUUGAUUGCAGGGGUCAGGCUGCCCUGAAGGCUGACGGUUACUAUAACCACAGCGGUUUUCUGCUUUUGAAUUAAGGCCGGGAACGCCCUCUCCAGUUAGGACCUACAGAAGUACAAUCAAUGAACAGCAGCUGCUGCUGGUUUCCUCCUUCUUCAAAGCUAAUUAUUCCCAUCUUAGGACUUGGCAAAAUCUGUCUUUACGGGGAGGCUUAGUUAUGUUCGCCACCCGGAACUCUCUGGAAAUCAUACAUUCUCAAGUAAUUGCGGGACACCCUCUGGUGAGCAAUCCAAGGUAUCUUUACUCUCCACGCACAGACGCAGUUCUGGCUCCUUCUUGUAGGUCUUAUUUGCCUGGUUGCACCCUGGUGGUUCAGGACCGGGUCCCUAUGCAAGGAGGCAUCGUUCUCCUUCCCGAGGAGCUCUGGGGAGCCCUGAGGUCCGGACAAGGCUGAUACGAUCAGGUGGAAGGUGUGGGUAGAGGAGAUGCUGUGGUUCAUCUCCUCAUUCUUUCGGAUCCAAGGUCCCCUAUGAAAUGUCAACACCCGGGAAAGACUCAGUCCCCAUUUGGCAGAGCUGAUCGACUUGAGAGGACCGUGUGAGAAGGAGGUGCUGAUGAUACGUGGGCUGCAAGGAAGGAGGGAAGCCGUGCCCUCUGGGGCAGGCCAGAGAGACAGGUGAGCCCCAUGGCUUUGCUUCAUUCCCACCCUGCACCCGGACGCUUGAGGGAGGAGGGCCUGGUGUAGGAAGCCGUCAGCAUCGCCCUGCCUGGCGCUCCUGUGUGCAGAUCCUCCACUGCGGAGGAACGGGGACCUGAAUUAGAAGAUCCCAACCCCUCUGGAAUAAUACAUCUAACGUUUGCACAGAC
Long non-coding RNA from Felis catus (domestic cat), 1148 nucleotides. RefSeq lists it as uncharacterized. The transcript is spliced from 2 exons. NCBI's taxonomy places the organism in Eukaryota, Metazoa, Chordata, Mammalia, Carnivora, Felidae. The record is from RefSeq and is a predicted model, not a curated record.